This 468-nucleotide ribosomal RNA is filed under the name uncultured bacterium. Its description in RNAcentral is "partial 16S ribosomal RNA". It matches the Rfam family "Bacterial small subunit ribosomal RNA", at positions 28 to 507 of the family's 1533-position model. The record is from RNAcentral.
GACGAACGCUGGCGGCGUGCUUAACACAUGCAAGUCGAACGGGAAGGCCCUGCUUUUGUGGGGUGCUCGAGUGGCGAACGGGUGAGUAACACGUGAGUAACCUGCCCUUGACUUUGGGAUAACUUCAGGAAACUGGGGGUAAUACCGGAUAGGAGCUACUGCUGCAUGGUGGGGGUUGGAAAGUUUCGGCGGUUGGGGUUGGACUCGCGGCUUAUCAGCUUGUUGGUGGGGUAGUGGCUUACCAAGGCUUUGAAGGGUAGCCGGCCUGAGAGGGUGACCGGCCACAUUGGGACUGGGAUACGGCCCAGACUCCUACGGGAGGCAGCAGUGGAGAAUAGUGCACUAUGGGCGGAAGCCUGAUGCAGCAACGCCGCGUGCGGGAUGACGGCCUUCGGGUUGUAAACCACUGUUGCCUGUGACGAAGCGUGAGUGACGGUAAUGGGUAAAGAAGCACCGGCUAACUACGUG